AUGUUGGAGUGGAAGUUUUUUCUGCGUCACGGUUGUUCUCCAGCGACCACAAAAUGCAGCGCUGAGGGGACACGGCACAGAAAACCAGAAGCUGGAUCGCCGCCCUCGCCCUCUGAGCGAGGAGGUUGACUCCGUUUUAAAGAGCCACACUGGCCUAAGACAGUGGAUGGGUGUUCUCUGGCAUUCCAAAGAGGUAGGAAACACAUGCUCCCCAUGGGCACCGCUUGCACCGGACCUGAGUCACUCAAGAUCUCAGUGGCCAUCAGCCUGCCUUCCUUCCUGCCAAGCUGCCCUGUCACAAACACACUGCAAACACACUGAUAAUAAGCUCAGGAAACCCAGCGCAGAGAGGAGUGAGCGAGACGGGCAGUCGUGGUUAAAGAGACAUGGGAAUGAAAAGCAAAAUUAGCAGCGAGAAAGAGAAAGAGAUAUGAUGGAGAACAAGUGGCAGGAUAAGCAAGGGAGAAUCCAAUGCUCAAGUUACAGGAAAACCCCAAUCCCCGAGGGACAAAGAGAGAGAAAAAAAGAGAAAACGAAAGAGAAAAUGAGACAGGGUGAAGGUAAAGAAGUGUAUAUUAUGUCUCCUGUCAUCUAAUUUUUCUAUUUUCCAUCCUGUUCUUUGGUUUUCAUCUAAGCAGAACAAAAUCAUGCCCUUCAUUUCGAGAGUUGCUUUGUUCUCCCUUUUGGUCUGCGCACUCCUGAGCGUGGUCCAUCCACUCAAGUCUCUCUUUUGAAGUGGUGGAUAAAAGGGGGAUAGUGUGGAUGCCUGCCUGAUAGGGUGAGGAGUGUAGGCAUGUAGAGAACAAUGGCGCAUAGAAACAAAACCAAAAAAAUAUGUUUAUCAUAAUAGUUUGGGAGUCAUUGCACAAUUACAGCCAAAAACUAUUUGGCUGAACAAACAUGUGCAGCCUCGCCAAACAAACAGCGCUAAUAAAGCAGUAAAAAUGCCAUGGAUAUCAUGCAAGCAACACGGAGAAUCAGACCAGAUGCAGCUCACAGUGCUGCUAACUUGUAACGCCUGUGAUCUCUGAACUCCUCAAGCUGCCUGAAGAUGUUGGGUGGAGAUCAUAAGGAGUACAUGUGUUAAGGGAGUUUAUGGACAAGAUUGGAACUGACACCAGCCAUCAGGCAAAUACUGAUUAGCUUGGGCAACAGCCACAAGGGUUGACUAUCCCAGUGAUUGCUUUAAGACUUGUUCGUGCCGAAAUGUAACACUAUGUUAAACGUUUGGCUUUGAGCAUGCAGCAGACCUUUUGUGGUUUUUGACACCUUUGUAUUUAGUAGUUCUUGUUCCAGAAGACACCCGUCAGUGUCCUUCUGCCUUUAGCAACUAUUAAUUCAAGCUCUGAAGAAUGACCAUUUUUAAAAUCAGACAGGAUAUUUGCUUCCACGUGUGUGUGUGUGUGUCUUGAAAAAUGUGCCUUGAGUGCCUGUAAAUGCAGGAACAUAAAUCACAGUCACUAUUACUUGACAUUCUUACUGCUUACAGCUACAGUAAAGCCGACAGCAAUUGCCCCAUUUUUGACAAUAGGUUAGGGUUGACAAAGAUUCAUGACACUCAUAUAUUGCUCCUCGGAGCUGUCUGGU
Stegastes partitus (bicolor damselfish) is the source of this 1587-nucleotide long non-coding RNA. RefSeq lists it as uncharacterized. The record is from RefSeq and is a predicted model, not a curated record. The transcript is spliced from 3 exons. Lineage: Eukaryota; Metazoa; Chordata; Actinopteri; Pomacentridae.